Molecule: non-coding RNA, 1187 nt
Organism: Tetranychus urticae (two-spotted spider mite)
Lineage: Eukaryota; Metazoa; Arthropoda; Arachnida; Trombidiformes; Tetranychidae
Source: RefSeq, a predicted model, not a curated record
CGGGAAUGUUGGUAAAGAUGCUAUCUCUUGCAUUCUUUGCUCAAGUGAAGCUGUUUCAGUUGACAAUAAAGUUUGCUGUUGUUUAUAAAUGAUACUCUUAGAACUGUUCAGCUAAUUAACUUCGAAAUUAACUUACACAAAAAGAAACCUGAAUUCCGAGAAAGCUCUGACUAUUUUUGGUGGUUCCAAGCAUGGCUUUCAUGCAGUUUCCUUUAAACCAGCUCAGUUCGAUCAUAAUUUUGAGGCAAAAAUUUAUUGUUUUGACUUUAUAUUGUAGAUUAUCCUUGUUAUAAUUGGACAUAAACUGGACUUUUAUUAUUGAUUAUUGAUCUUGUCCAUAGCAGUUAUGUCAGUUUGCGCCCGAUAUAAUUCUGAGACUGAAAUAAGUGAUGAAGAAGUCAUGAUCACAUGUCAACUGAAGCACAUUAUAACCAGAAUAUCAACAAACCCAUCAUUUGAUUAGAGGGUAAUAAAGAGGAACAAUAAAAUGAACAAAACAAAUAACAAAUGUAAAAGCCUUGGCAAUUACUAUUAAGCUCCACUAUUUUCAGAAUUUAGGAGACUUUUAAAGCAGCGAUUCAAUAGACAAGGAUCAUGACAAUAUAAUCUCUGGAUCAUUUGCUAUGGAUUUAUUCAUUAAGACUACGUGGCAAUUGUAAAGUGCUAUCUCCUCGUAAACACAGCCUAAAAAACAUUGAUAAAAAAUUAAUACUAGACUGGUACCGUGUUACCGCACAUUCAAGCUCUGAGCUUUUAAAUGAGGUCCUCGUUUAUAAGCUUUUUUUACUCUAAAUAACGAUGCGCUAUGCGCUUAAAAUUCACUUAGAAAAACCGGUUUUAAAAUAACUUCUUUCUCGACAAUAGGCACUGAUUCGAUAAGAUUAUUCAUCGUUUAAUUGAUUGUUAGCAUGAUAAUUUUUUUAGACUCGUUUCCAUUGCUCAAAAUGUAUUUUAUCAGCAAUGACCAUUUCUGUAUCAGAGCCUAUCUCAUAGUUUGCUCAUUAUCUUAGUAGCGCUUAUUUAAACGGCUAGAAUACCUGAUUUACUUACAAGCACAAGCUUUAAUUGGUGAGGAAAACUUUGUCUUAUAAAUGGGGUUCGUUCAUUUAUAAGCUCAGAGCCUAUUUGCGCGGUAACACGGUAAUUAGAGCAUGUAGCAUGAUAUCAAUAAUAAUGUUUGUUCAAAU